This 264-nucleotide long non-coding RNA is filed under the name Equus caballus (horse). RNAcentral describes it as "lncRNA (ENSECAG00000050695.1)". The record is from RNAcentral. Lineage: Eukaryota; Metazoa; Chordata; Mammalia; Perissodactyla; Equidae.
AAAUAAUUUCCUUUUCUAGCAGUUUCAACAAGAAUCCUGGAAUUGAGUCUCCUUAGGCAGACCUGUGUCAUGUUCCAUCUGGAGCAAAGGGAAGAGCUUGAACAGCUCCUCAGAAGCUCUUGGGACGCUCUCUCUUUGAAUGAGCCAUCACGUGGCGAGAAGCUUAACCGGCAGGAAGAGACAGACUUGCCUGCAGCCUCUCCAAGGGAGGAAAGUCAGAGAAUUUCAGGGCCAUGCUUUAAAAUGCCCUGUGUUGUGGAAAAC